This is a long non-coding RNA of Nannospalax galili (Upper Galilee mountains blind mole rat), 242 nucleotides long. RefSeq lists it as uncharacterized. The transcript is spliced from 3 exons. The record is from RefSeq and is a predicted model, not a curated record. NCBI's taxonomy places the organism in Eukaryota, Metazoa, Chordata, Mammalia, Rodentia, Spalacidae.
GUGAGCAGCUUCUACUCCUGCCACAAACACUGCCUUGUCACAGAUGGAGAAGCAAUGGAGCCAGCUGGCUAGAAGCUGGAACCCCCAAAACUGUGGCAGAGGAAGACUGGGGGAGUCAGCACCAAGAGAGCUACAGGGUCUGCUGCCACAAGACGGAUAGCUUUAUUCUGCUAAGUGCUCCCACCAUGAUGUACUGCACUGCUACAAACCCAAAGCAACUAGGCCAAGUGAUUGAGGACUGA